Molecule: ribosomal RNA, 472 nt
Filed under: uncultured organism
Description: partial 16S ribosomal RNA
Rfam family: Bacterial small subunit ribosomal RNA
Source: RNAcentral
UACACUCCUGCGGGAGGCAGCAGUGGGGAAUUUUGGACAAUGGGCGAAAGCCUGAUCCAGCAAUGCCGCGUGUGUGAAGAAGGCCUUCGGGUUGUAAAGCACUUUUGUCCGGAAAGAAAUCCUUGGCUCUAAUACAGUCGGGGGAUGACGGUACCGGAAGAAUAAGCACCGGCUAACUACGUGCCAGCAGCCGCGGUAAUACGUAGGGUGCGAGCGUUAAUCGGAAUUACUGGGCGUAAAGCGUGCGCAGGCGGUUUGCUAAGACCGAUGUGAAAUCCCCGGGCUCAACCUGGGAACUGCAUUGGUGACUGGCAGGCUAGAGUAUGGCAGAGGGGGGUAGAAUUCCACGUGUAGCAGUGAAAUGCGUAGAGAUGUGGAGGAAUACCGAUGGCGAAGGCAGCCCCCUGGGCCAAUACUGACGCUCAUGCACGAAAGCGUGGGGAGCAAACAGGAUUAGAAACCCGUGUAGUCC